UGAGGAAUAGCUCAUUUGGUAGAGCAUGAAACUCCUAAUCUCAGGGUUGUGGGUUCAAGACCCACAUUGGGCAAAA
Molecule: transfer RNA, 76 nt
Filed under: Podarcis lilfordi (Lilford's wall lizard)
Lineage: Eukaryota; Metazoa; Chordata; Lepidosauria; Squamata; Lacertidae
Description: tRNA.Arg
Rfam family: tRNA (bases 8-65)
About the family: Transfer RNA (tRNA) molecules are approximately 80 nucleotides in length. Their secondary structure includes four short double-helical elements and three loops (D, anti-codon, and T loops).
Source: RNAcentral